CCCUUAGAUGCCCUGGGCCGCACGCGCGCUACACUGACAUGUUCAACAAGCCUCCUAGUUCGACAGGAUUUGGGAAAUCUUUGAACGCAUGUCGUGAUAGGGAUAGAUCAUUGCAAUUAUUGAUCUUGAACGAGGAAUUCCUAGUAAACGCGAGUCAUCAGCUCGCAUUGAUUACGUCCCUGCCCUUUGUACACACCGCCCGUCGCACCUACCGAUUGAAUGUUUCGGUGAAGAUUCCGGAUAGGACUUUUUUGAUUUAUUUCAAUUCUGUCUUAAAAGCUAUCUAAACCUCAACAUUUAGAGGAAGGUGAAGUCGUAACA
This 321-nucleotide ribosomal RNA is filed under the name uncultured eukaryote. RNAcentral describes it as "partial 18S ribosomal RNA". It matches the Rfam family "Eukaryotic small subunit ribosomal RNA", at positions 1470 to 1796 of the family's 1831-position model. The record is from RNAcentral.